AGAUCAGCUAUGAUGAUUGCUUCUUUUUGUUAUCCUUGCACUUUGAGUUUCACUGUGAAGAGAUCUUACGGCCAAAGUUGUUUCUGAGCUGCUG
Molecule: small nucleolar RNA, 94 nt
Filed under: Daucus carota subsp. sativus
Lineage: Eukaryota; Viridiplantae; Streptophyta; Magnoliopsida; Apiales; Apiaceae
Description: Small nucleolar RNA snoR26
Rfam family: Small nucleolar RNA snoR26
Source: Rfam by way of RNAcentral